This is a small nucleolar RNA of Tachyglossus aculeatus (Australian echidna), 138 nucleotides long. The record is from RefSeq and is a predicted model, not a curated record. Lineage: Eukaryota; Metazoa; Chordata; Mammalia; Monotremata; Tachyglossidae.
CCCCUCUCAAGAUGACACCUAGAGAGUUUCCAGUACUCUACCAGUUUUGGCUAUGGGAGGGAGAGUCAAGCAGAGGCAUAACCAUUCCUUUCCUAGCUUGGGCAGUGGCUAGCGAGUGGAAGGCAAUCUGCUACAAGU